Molecule: ribosomal RNA, 301 nt
Filed under: uncultured bacterium
Lineage: Bacteria
Description: partial 16S ribosomal RNA
Rfam family: Bacterial small subunit ribosomal RNA
Source: RNAcentral
CAGCCGCCGCGGUAAUACGUAGGUGGCAAGCGUUGUCCGGAAUUAUCGGGCGUAAAGGGCUCGCAGGCGGUUUCUUAAGUCUGAUGUGAAAGCCCCCGGCUCAACCGGGGAGGGUCAUUGGAAACUGGGAAACUUGAGUGCAGAAGAGGAGAGUGGAAUUCCACGUGUAGCGGUGAAAUGCGUAGAGAUGUGGAGGAACACCAGUGGCGAAGGCGACUCUCUGGUCUGUAACUGACGCUGAGGAGCGAAAGCGUGGGGAGCGAACAGGAUUAGAUACCCCCGUAGUCCCUGUCUCUUAUAC